RNAcentral lists this long non-coding RNA (655 nucleotides) under Triticum aestivum (bread wheat). RNAcentral describes it as "long non-coding RNA (TAES_LNC012909)". The record is from RNAcentral. Lineage: Eukaryota; Viridiplantae; Streptophyta; Magnoliopsida; Poales; Poaceae.
GACAAGAACCUGGCACCGUUCGACGUGCAGACACAGCUCCUCUUCGACAACGCCUACUACCGCAACCUGGUCGCUAAGCGCGGCUUGCUGAACUCCGACCAGGUGCUCUUCAACGGCGGCUCCCAGGACGCGCUAGUGCGCCAGUACGUCGCUAACCCGGCGCUCUUCGCCUCCGACUUUGUGACGGCGAUGAUCAAGAUGGGUAACAUCAACCCGCUCACGGGAACCGCCGGCCAGAUUAGGCGCAACUGCAGGGUCGUCAACAGCUGAUCCGUCCAUCGUCUCGCCAUAUGUGUUACAAAUAUAUAGGCGUAAAAUGUGUAUGUAAAGUUAGGUUGGCUACGUACCAACCAGCUAGCAUGCAUGGCAGAAUAAGAGCCGUUUGGUUCAGAUAAUGCCUGGGGGCUGGGAUCCAUAGGUAAGUAACCCUCAAGCUCCAGGGUUGUUAGGUACCUGCUUCAUCAUGUAAGUCGCUCCGACGUAUGCAUGCAGUGCUAUAAAAGAAACCAAGCAUGGAGUGAGAUUUGCGACAAAACUGUGAGAGAAAACAAAUGUGAAGAGAGAUUUUUUUCGAUCUUUCUUUUCUUCCAGUUUACCCUUUGGUUUAAUUUUACUCGCUAAUUGCCCAUACGUUGCAAAGGGGUAUACAUAUUUU